This 1566-nucleotide long non-coding RNA is filed under the name Canis lupus familiaris (dog). Its description in RNAcentral is "lncRNA (ENSCAFG00030000588.1)". Lineage: Eukaryota; Metazoa; Chordata; Mammalia; Carnivora; Canidae. The record is from RNAcentral.
AUGUGGCCUCUGGUCGGUACCUCGUCUAACAGACGGGGUCCACGGCUUGAAGCCGCGCGGCCCACCCGGAGCGCAGGGCGCAGCGCCCUGCAGGGGCCAGCGCCCCGGGUCGCGGCCCCAGGUCUGCAGAGGCCGCUGCAGCCCCAGGCCCAGGUCUGCAGAGGCCGCUCCAGGCCGACCCCGGGUCGCAGCCCCAGGUCUGCAGAGGCCGCUGCAGCUCCAGGCCCAGGCCCGCAGAGCCCGCUCCAGGCCCGACCCUGGGUCGCUGCCCCAGGUCUGCAGAGGCCGCUCCAGGCCGACCCCGGGUCGCAGCCCCAGGUCUGCAGAGGCCGCUGCAGCUCCAGGCCCAGGCCCAGGCCCGCAGAGGCCGCUCCAGGCCCGACCCCAGGUCGCGGCCCCAGGUCUGCAGAGGCCGAUGCAGCCCCAGGCCCAGGUCUGCAGCGGUCGCUCCAGGCCCAGGCCCAGGUCUGCAGAGGCUGCUCCAGGCCCAACCUCAGGUCAUGGCCCCAGGUCUGCAGAGGCCGCUCCAGGCCCGACCCCGGGUCACGGCCCCAGGUCUGCAGAGGCCGCUGCAGCUCCAGGCCCAGGCCCAGGCCCAGGCCCAGGCCCAGGCCCGCAGAGCCCGCUCCAGGCCCGACCCAGGGUCGCGGCCCCAGGUCUGCAGAGGCCGCUCCAGGCCGACCCCGGGUCGCAGCCCCAGGUCUGCAGAGGCCAAUGCAGUCCCAGGCCCAGGUCUGCAGCGGUCGCUCCAGGCCCAGGCCCAGGUCUGCAGAGGCCGCUCCAGGCCCAACCUCAGGUCAUGGCCCCAGGUCUGCAGAGGCCGCUUCAGGCCUGACCCCGGGUCACGGCCCCAGGUCUGCAGAGGCCGCUGCAGCUCCAGGCCCGCAGAGGCCGCUCUGGGCCGCGAGGGCCGCCUUCCACCCUGACAGCGCCCGGGGCUGCGCGGGGCAGCGCCGACGGCUCCCCGGGGGCUCGGGCCGCGGGGAGGGAGUCCCCAGUCCCCCCCCGCCGCUCCUCGGGCUGCCGGCCGCCGGAGCUCGGGCGGGGGAGCGGACGGGAGCGGCACCGGUGACUCACCCCGCGCGGCCCGCGCCAGGCCUCGGCGCCCCCCCCGCGGGCCUGGGACCCGCGGCUCAGCGCCCCCCAGAGGCGGGAGAGCCCCUGCCCCGCCGGCCCCUCCUCGGGCUGCCCCCCGCCCCCCGCGGGCUCCUCCCCGGACUGCCUCCUCCUCCCCCCGCGGCCCCCCCUCCAGGAGUCUCCCCCACGAGCCCUCCCCCUCCCCCGGCUGCCCUCUCCCCCCGGCGGCCCCCUCCUCCCCCCGCGGCCCCCCUCCCCGAGCUGUACCCCCUUCCCCCGGCUGCCCCCCUUCUUCCCGGGCUGCCUCCUGCUCCCCCCGCGGCUCCCCCAUCCCCGGGCUGCCCCCUCCCCCGCGGGCCCCUUCCCGGGCGGACCCUCCCCGCGGGCCCUCCCCCUUCCCCCGGCUGCCCCCCCCGUUCCCGGGCUGCCUCCCGCUCCCCCCGCGGCCCCCCCUCCCCGGGACGAGGCCGGGGGCGCGCACAGACCUGA